RNAcentral lists this ribosomal RNA (486 nucleotides) under uncultured Acidovorax sp. Its description in RNAcentral is "bacterial SSU rRNA". It matches the Rfam family "Bacterial small subunit ribosomal RNA", at positions 43 to 526 of the family's 1533-position model. The record is from RNAcentral. Lineage: Bacteria; Pseudomonadati; Pseudomonadota; Betaproteobacteria; Burkholderiales; Comamonadaceae.
CAGGCCUAACACAUGCAAGUCGAACGGUAACAGGUCUUCGGAUGCUGACGAGUGGCGAACGGGUGAGUAAUACAUCGGAACGUGCCCGAUCGUGGGGGAUAACGAAGCGAAAGCUUUGCUAAUACCGCAUAAGAUCUACGGAUGAAAGCAGGGGACCGCAAGGCCUUGCGCGAACGGAGCGGCCGAUGGCAGAUUAGGUAGUUGGUGGGAUAAAAGCUUACCAAGCCGACGAUCUGUAGCUGGUCUGAGAGGACGACCAGCCACACUGGGACUGAGACACGGCCCAGACUCCUACGGGAGGCAGCAGUGGGGAAUUUUGGACAAUGGGCGAAAGCCUGAUCCAGCCAUGCCGCGUGCAGGAUGAAGGCCUUCGGGUUGUAAACUGCUUUUGUACGGAACGAAAAGACUCUGGUUAAUACCUGGGGUCCAUGACGGUACCGUAAGAAUAAGCACCGGCUAACUACGUGCCAGCAGCCGCGGUAAUAC